Molecule: transfer RNA, 63 nt
Filed under: Platygaster sp. ZJUH_2016026
Lineage: Eukaryota; Metazoa; Arthropoda; Insecta; Hymenoptera; Platygastridae
Description: tRNA-Asp
Source: RNAcentral
UUAAAUUUAGUUAAUAUAUAAUUUUAAUUUGUCAUAUUAAAGUAAUUUAAAAAAUAAUUUAAU